ACUGCUUCUUGACCUUUUGGCUAAGAUCAUGUGUAGUAUCUGUUCUUAUCGGUUUAAUACCUUAUCUGUCCUCAAUGAGAGGACUUUUAAAUGGAUUUUUUUUUUUU
Molecule: small nuclear RNA, 107 nt
Filed under: Egretta garzetta (little egret)
Lineage: Eukaryota; Metazoa; Chordata; Aves; Pelecaniformes; Ardeidae
Description: U2 spliceosomal RNA
Rfam family: U2 spliceosomal RNA
About the family: U2 is a small nuclear RNA (snRNA) component of the spliceosome (involved in pre-mRNA splicing). Complementary binding between U2 snRNA (in an area lying towards the 5' end but 3' to hairpin I) and the branchpoint sequence (BPS) of the intron results the bulging out of an unpaired adenosine, on the BPS, which initiates a nucleophilic attack at the intronic 5' splice site, thus starting the first of two transesterification reactions that mediate splicing.
Source: Rfam by way of RNAcentral